UUUUCUGUAUCCAUUCUUCUAUUGGAGGACAUCUGGGUUCUUUCCAGCUUCUGCCUAUUAUAAAUAAGGCUUCUAUGAACUUACUGGAGCAUGUGUUCUUACUACCAGUUGGAACUUCUUCUGGGUAUAUGCCCAGUAGUACUAUGGCAUAGUAGUACUAUGUCCAAGUUUCUGAGGAACCUCCAGACUGAUUUCCGGAGUGGUUGUAAAAGCUUGCAAUCCCACCAGCAGUGGAGGAGUGUUCCUCUUUCUCCACAUCCUCGCCAGCAUCUGCUGUCACCUGAAUUUUUGAUCUUAGCCAUUCUGACUGGUGUGAGGUAGAAUCUCAAGGUUGUUUUGAUUUGCAUUUCCCUGAUGAUUAAGGAUGUUGAACAUUUUUUAGGUGCUUCUCAGCCAUUCAGUAUUCCUCAGUUGAGAAUUCUUUGUUUAGCUCUGAAACCCAUUUUUUUUUUUUAAAGAUUUAUUUAUUUAUUAUAUGUAAGUACACUGUAGCUGUCUUCAGACACACCAGAAGAGGGAGUCAUAUCUUUUUACGGAUGGUUGUGAGCCACCAUGUGGUUGCUGGGAUUUGAACUCAGGACCUUCCGAAGAGCAGUCAGUGCUCUUAACCACUGAGCCAUCUCACCAGCCCCUGAAACCCAUUUUUUAAUGGGGUUAUUUGAAUUUCUGGAGUCCAGCUUCUUGAGCUCUUUGUAUAAAUUGGAUAUUAGUCCCCUAUCAGCUUUAGGUUUGGUAAAAAUCCUUUCCCAAUCUGUCGGUGGCCUUUUUGUCUUAUUGACGGUGUCUUUUGCCUUACAGAAGCUUUGCAGUUUUAUGAGGUCCCAUUUGUCAAUUCUUGAUCUUAUAGCACAAGCCAUUGCUGUUUUGUUUAGGAAAUUUUCCUGUGUACCCAUAUCUUCGAGGCUUUUCUCCACUUUCUCCUCUACUAAUUUCAGUGUCUCUGGUCUUAUGUGGAGGUCUUUGAUCCACUUAGACUUGAGCUUUGUACAAGGAGAUAAGAAUGAAUCAAUUCGCAUUUUUCUACAUGAUAACUGCCUGUUGUGCCAGCACCAUUUGUUGAAAAUGCUGUCUUUUUUCCCACUGGAUGGUUUUAGCUCUCUUGUCAAAGAUCAAGUGACCAUAGGUGUGUGGGUUCAUUCUGGGUCUUCAAUUCUAUUCCAUUGAUCUACCUGUCUGUCACUGUACCAGUACCAUGCAGUUUUUAUCACAAUUGCUCUGUAGUACAGCUUGAUGUCAGGCAAUGUGAUUCUACCAGAGGUUCUCUUAUUGUUGAGAAUAGUUUUUGCUAUCCUAGGUUUUUUAUUUUUCCAGAUGAAUUUGCAAAUUGCCCUUUCUAUCUCAGUGAAGAAUUGAGUUGGAAUUUUGAUGGGGAUUGCAUUGAAUGUGUAGAUUGCUUCCAGCAGGAUAGCCAUUUUUACUAUAUUAAUCCUGCCAAUCCAUGAGCAUGGGAGAUCUUUCCAUCUUCUGAGAUCUUCUUCAAAAAUAUCCAGUUUUUAAAAAGGAAAUAAAUUUGAAAUGCAGUGUUAUAGGUGAGAAGAAAUCUGCAUGAUAUAUGUUGUCUGUAACUGGAAGAAGACACUUUGGGAAACCGCUGGAGCAUAAGUACUGUGGCCCUUGCUGCAUAUUGAAAAUUACAAGGUAGUUUGUGACAGUGUCUGUACUUCACCUACUGACUGGUAUUUCCUUCUUUUUUCUGGCUUGCUUCUUUGGUAAGUUGUUGCUUUAACAUAAUAUUCUGUUCUUCUAGGAAUCAUUCAUGAUAAGAAUCUAUGAAUAAUGCUUUUCUGUUGGUGCCAUUUCGUUGAUACGUUGCAGGUGAAUUUACUCCUGAAAUGCAGGUGAGAAUUCGACAAGAGAUUGAGAAGGAGAAGAAAGUAGAGCUGUGGAAGGAACAAUUCUUUGAAAAUUACUAUGGUCAGAGGUAAGCUAAGGCAGACUCUGUAUCCAGCUGUCAAUGUCACAUGUCAUGUGACACCUCUAUGUUUUUACCUUAUUGGAAACUCUAGUGCCUACAUACCUGUAAUUUUUUAUAUCAUGAAUUCUUUUUCAUUAAUAAUAGCCUUAGCUGGGCGUGGCGGCGCACUCCUUUAAUCCCAGCACUCGGGAGGCAGAGGCAGGCAGAUUUCUGAGUUUGAGGCCAGCCUGGUUUACAAAGUCAGUUCCAGGACAGCCACGAUUACAUACAUAGGGAAACCCCAUCUUGAAAAACCCAUACAAAAGAGCCGCUUUUUGUUUUGUUUUUAAGGAAUCAUGAGUAUACAGAAUUGUUUCUCUCAUAAUCCUUGGUCCUUAACUUACAUUGUACUUAAAGUGGGUUCCACUUACU
RNAcentral lists this long non-coding RNA (2326 nucleotides) under Mus musculus (house mouse). RNAcentral's name for it is "long non-coding RNA chr12:3491918-3494244". The record is from RNAcentral. Lineage: Eukaryota; Metazoa; Chordata; Mammalia; Rodentia; Muridae.